AUUAAUUCUCAGCAGGUAGUUCCCUUUACUGAUAUAAGCGUUCAAAUUGUCUGGUGUGGUCCAGCUGAGGACUGGAACAAAGUAAAUCUUCCUCGGUGGAGAAGGACACCUGAACUCAGCAGAGCACACCAGACAGCAGGGCACUGGCAGAGCACUUUUGAAUUCUAUCGCCUAUGCUGAAAACAGGUGAAGAUAUGGUUGAAUAAAUCUGGCCCAGCCUAUCAAAGGAGUUACAGAUGAAAAUUAGUAGGACUGAGCAAGAACAAGGAAGGAAUUACAUUUGAUUGGGAAAGUGGGGGAAAAAAAACCUCAACGUGAUUCAAAAUACUGUAUAUUUAUUAAACAUUGGUUAUGUACCCUGUUGGAAAUGUAAAAGUAACAUAUCUUCUCUUUCUGGGUCUCAAACAUUUAAGAUCUAGUUAAGGAACUGGACUUUUACAUAAAAUACAAUUGGACAACAUUCAACACUAUGAGUUAGAAUAUUCAUGAGCCAAAGUCUUUGGCGUAGACAUUUAGUAAUAUGAGAAGUCAGGAAAAGAAGAAAUUACUGUGGGCUGGAGUGGGUUGGGAAGAUGAGAUGGGAGAAUUGACAUGGGACUGGAGAAAGAGUGAGAUUCAGAGAGAUGAAUCCACUCCCCGACCCCUGAGGAAAAAAAAAAAAAUGCAAGAGAGAAAAGAGGGAGAAAGAGAGAGAGAAAGAACAGGGAAAAAAGAAAUGAGGAAAAACAGGUCACCAGCAGGAAUGAGGAAGGAAAGAGGCAGGUAAGUGGUGGAUUUUUGCUCCACAGAAGGCAAUAUAACAAGAGGUGGCAAUUCCUGGCAGGCCAUGUUGAACAAAAUGCACUUUUGCCCUUGUUGGUAUGUCCAGAAAUUCAAGUUUGAAAGUUGAAAGUCCUGGCUUAUGUGACAGUAAAUAUAUGUUUGGGGAAAA
Molecule: long non-coding RNA, 931 nt
Organism: Camelus dromedarius (Arabian camel)
Lineage: Eukaryota; Metazoa; Chordata; Mammalia; Artiodactyla; Camelidae
Exons: 3
Source: RefSeq, a predicted model, not a curated record